UGGGGAAACUUGGACAAUGGGGGCAACCCUGAUCCAGCCAUGCCGCGUGAGUGAUGACGGCCUUCGGGUUGUAAAGCUCUUUUAUUCGGGACGAUAAUGACGGUACCGGAAGAAUAAGCCCCGGCUAACUUCGUGCCAGCAGCCGCGGUAAUACGAAGGGGGCGAGCGUUGUUCGGAAUUACUGGGCGUAAAGCGUGCGUAGGCUGCUAUGCAAGUCAGGAGUGAAAUCCCCGGGCUCAACUCGGGAAUU
RNAcentral lists this ribosomal RNA (250 nucleotides) under uncultured bacterium. Its description in RNAcentral is "partial 16S ribosomal RNA". It matches the Rfam family "Bacterial small subunit ribosomal RNA", at positions 355 to 622 of the family's 1533-position model. The record is from RNAcentral.